RNAcentral lists this ribosomal RNA (1029 nucleotides) under Triticum aestivum (bread wheat). Its description in RNAcentral is "partial small subunit ribosomal RNA". Lineage: Eukaryota; Viridiplantae; Streptophyta; Magnoliopsida; Poales; Poaceae. The record is from RNAcentral.
AUGUGCACCCCGAAUUUGGCGCAGGUCACCCACAUGUUCGACAUCUUCGGCUACAGCAAGCACAGGGGCAUGGGCAACGAGAAGUUCAUCAGGUCCGGUACUUUCUCUGUCGGGGGCCACGACUGGUCCAUCCGCUUCUACCCGGACGGGUACAGCACGGAAAAAGUCGAGAAGGAUUACAUCUCAGUUUAUCUCGAGCUCAUGAGCAAGGGAGCCAAGGUGCGGGGGUCCUGCGACCUGAGGUUGGUCGACCAGAGCACCGGAAUGUCGGCUUCGGUGCACAAGACAGAGCUGAGGACUUUUGAUCCUGCUGGCCUCAGUAGAGGGGAUGUUGAGUCUGCGUUCCUCGCGAACGAUCGCCUCACGAUCGAAUGCAUCGUCACUGUUAUCGAAGAGCCAUGCGUGACUGAAUCCAAACCGUUCCCCAAAACCGAGGUGCCGGUGCCACCCUCCGAUAUCGCCGAGCAUCUCAGCAAGCUUCUGGAAGACGACGAGGGGUUCGAUGUCACUUUCUGUGUUCGAAGAAAGACCAUGAGAGCUCACAGGUCCAUUCUCGCCGCGCGAUCACCUGUCUUCAAAGCGGAGCUCUUUGGAUCGAUGAAGGAGGCGAGGAUGCCGCGGCGCGUUACCAUCAAAGACAUGCAACCUGAUGUUUUCAGCGCCCUGCUCCAUUUCAUAUAUACCGACUCUUUGCCUGAUGGUGACAAGAAUGCUGACAUGAUCCGUCAUUUACUGGUGGCUGCUGACAGAUAUGCCAUGGAGAGGCUGAAGCUGGUUUGCCAAAGUAUCCUCUGCGAGAAUCUGAACGUUGACACCGUGGCAACCACAUGGGCUUUGGCUGACCAGCAUAGCUGCGACAAGCUUAAGGAUGCUUGCGUUGAGUACAUCGCUUGUUCGAAUGCCAUGGAUGCUGUGGUGGAAACCCAAGGCUAUAAGAAUCUCAAAGUGGCUGACCCGUCUCUCAUAGUGGAUCUGUUGGAGAGGACAACAAAGGUUCGCAAUGCAUGGCUUGCCCAUCAUCAUAUAUAG